GACGAACGCUGGCGGCGUGCCUAAUACAUGCAAGUCGAACGCACAGUUUAUACCGUAGCUUGCUACACCAUAGACUGUGAGUUGCGAACGGGUGAGUAACGCGUAGGUAACCUGCCUGGUAGCGGGGGAUAACUAUUGGAAACGAUAGCUAAUACCGCAUAAUAUUAAUUAUUGCAUGAUAAUUAAUUGAAAGGUGCAAUUGCACCACUACCAGAUGGACCUGCGUUGUAUUAGCUAGUAGGUGAGGUAACGGCUCACCUAGGCGACGAUACAUAGCCGACCUGAGAGGGUGAUCGGCCACACUGGGACUGAGACACGGCCCAGACUCCUACGGGAGGCAGCAGUAGGGAAUCUUCGGCAAUGGACGAAAGUCUGACCGAGCAGCGCCGCGUGAGUGAAGAAGGUUUUCGGAUCGUAAAGCUCUGUUGUAAGAGAAGAACGGGUGUGAGAGUGGAAAGUUCACACUGUGACGGUAUCUUACCAGAAAGGGACGGCUAACUACGUG
Molecule: ribosomal RNA, 505 nt
Filed under: uncultured bacterium
Lineage: Bacteria
Description: partial 16S ribosomal RNA
Rfam family: Bacterial small subunit ribosomal RNA
Source: RNAcentral